RNAcentral lists this long non-coding RNA (963 nucleotides) under Gossypium barbadense (sea-island cotton). RNAcentral describes it as "long non-coding RNA (GBAR_LNC021423)". The record is from RNAcentral. Lineage: Eukaryota; Viridiplantae; Streptophyta; Magnoliopsida; Malvales; Malvaceae.
AAAAAAAGUAAUUAUUCUCUUCAUUUUUAAAGAAAAGGCUAAACCUCUCUCUCUCUCUCUCUCUUACACACUCAUCUUCUGACGCCGGCCUAGCUCCGGCCACGGGUACCGGUGGGGUUCCGGCACCGUCGCCAUCGUCAGCCACCGUGCGCGGUGGCCGGAAACCCUAAAGCGACCCCCUUUUUAACUGCUUUAACCCCGGGUAACUUCGAUCUACCCUAAAAACUGGCUAAAAAUCGUCAAAGAUCAAAGGAAGACCGAAAAACUCUUUGGUUUCCUCCAUUUCGGCCACCAGCAAGGUAAGACCUCUUUCUCUUUUCUUUUAUAUUUUUUUUGUAUGUAGAAAUAAAGAAAAUAAAAAUACAGAUUGAAAGCAGUAAUCACUUUAGAAAUUUUUUGCUUUUAUUUCUCAAUGUUUUUUUUUACAUUCGUUUUUUCUUUUUCUUUUUGAAAAAUCUCCCCCUCCUUUUUUACAUUUGUUUGAUUUGGCUUUUAUAGCCGUUUUGGAUUACAGUGCAUGCUACUGUUCUAUACUGUUCUUUUCUUUUCUUCUGCUGUUCUUGUUUCUAUUUUGUGUCAUUUGCAGGUAUCGACGAAGGCGGAGUUCGCGGCUUUUUGCCGUUUUGGUGCUAGGCGGUGGCUAGGGUGUCAGGUAAGCCUUGGGACAAGGCACGGAUGGUACGCCCGAGGGAGUAGCGCACAUGGGCAGUAGGGGCUACAGCGCGAAAGGGUUAGGGAAACCCUAGGUUUUCUCUGAUUAUGUUUAAUUUUUGGGCUUAUCGGGCUUUAUUUUUUGGGCCAAUUGGACCAUUUGUAAUGGACUAUAAUUUUUAAUUUUUGGCUUGUUAUGCUGGUAUGGGCCCGGGCAAAAUAUGGGCUUUACAUUACUUUUGAAGAAAUACCUAGCAAAGCACACUAAAGUUCAAACUGUUAUCUAUUUCCAAGCCAAUCAUAAUUCUAAAU